This 496-nucleotide ribosomal RNA is filed under the name uncultured bacterium. Its description in RNAcentral is "partial 16S ribosomal RNA". It matches the Rfam family "Bacterial small subunit ribosomal RNA", at positions 29 to 507 of the family's 1533-position model. The record is from RNAcentral.
AUGAACGCUGGCGGCGUGCCUAAUACAUGCAAGUCGAGCGAACAGACGAGGAGUUUGCUCCUCUGACGUUAGCGGCGGACGGGUGAGUAACACGUGGAUAACCUACCUAUAAGACUGGGAUAACUUCGGGAAACCGGAGCUAAUACCGGAUAAUAUAUUGAACCGCAUGGUUCAAUAGUGAAAGACGGUUUUGCUGUCACUUAUAGAUGGAUCCGCGCCGCAUUAGCUAGUUGGUAAGGUAACGGCUUACCAAGGCAACGAUGCGUAGCCGACCUGAGAGGGUGAUCGGCCACACUGGAACUGAGACACGGUCCAGACUCCUACGGGAGGCAGCAGUAGGGAAUCUUCCGCAAUGGGCGAAAGCCUGACGGAGCAACGCCGCGUGAAUGAUGAAGGUCUUCGGAUCGUAAAACUCUGUUAUUAGGGAAGAACAAAUGUGUAAGUAACUAUGCACGUCUUGACGGUACCUAAUCAGAAAGCCACGGCUAACUACGUG